UGGCUCAGUGGUAGAGCACUUGCCUUGCAUGCAGGAAGCCCUGGGUUUGAUUCCUCAG
RNAcentral lists this transfer RNA (58 nucleotides) under Dipodomys ordii (Ord's kangaroo rat). It matches the Rfam family "tRNA", at positions 8 to 63 of the family's 71-position model. Rfam says of the family: Transfer RNA (tRNA) molecules are approximately 80 nucleotides in length. Their secondary structure includes four short double-helical elements and three loops (D, anti-codon, and T loops). Further hydrogen bonds mediate the characteristic L-shaped molecular structure. tRNAs have two regions of fundamental functional importance: the anti-codon, which is responsible for specific mRNA codon recognition, and the 3' end, to which the tRNAs corresponding amino acid is attached (by aminoacyl-tRNA synthetases). tRNAs cope with the degeneracy of the genetic code in two manners: having more than one tRNA (with a specific anti-codon) for a particular amino acid; and 'wobble' base-pairing, i.e. permitting non-standard base-pairing at the 3rd anti-codon position. The record is from Rfam by way of RNAcentral. Lineage: Eukaryota; Metazoa; Chordata; Mammalia; Rodentia; Heteromyidae.